UACGGAGGGUGCGAGCGUUGUUCGGAAUUACUGGGCGUAAAGCGCGUGUAGGCGGAUUUGCAAGUCAGGGGUGAAAUCCCCGAGCUCACCUUGGGAAGUGCCUUGGAUACUGCGUGUCUAGAGUCCGGGAGAGGGGGGUGGAAUUCCUAGUGUAGCGGUGAAAUUCGCAGAUAUCUGGAAGAACACCGGUGGCGAAGGCGGCCUACUGGACCGGGACUGACGCUGAGGUGCGAAAGCGUGGGGAGCAAACAGG
RNAcentral lists this ribosomal RNA (253 nucleotides) under uncultured bacterium. Its description in RNAcentral is "partial 16S ribosomal RNA". It matches the Rfam family "Bacterial small subunit ribosomal RNA", at positions 524 to 776 of the family's 1533-position model. The record is from RNAcentral.